Molecule: ribosomal RNA, 497 nt
Filed under: uncultured bacterium
Lineage: Bacteria
Description: partial 16S ribosomal RNA
Rfam family: Bacterial small subunit ribosomal RNA
Source: RNAcentral
GAUGAACGCUGGCGGCGUGCCUAAUACAUGCAAGUCGAGCGAACAGACGAGGAGCUUGCUCCUCUGACGUUAGCGGCGGACGGGUGAGUAACACGUGGAUAACCUACCUAUAAGACUGGGAUAACUUCGGGAAACCGGAGCUAAUACCGGAUAAUAUAUUGAACCGCAUGGUUCAAUAGUGAAAGACGGUUUUGCUGUCACUUAUAGAUGGAUCCGCGCCGCAUUAGCUAGUUGGUAAGGUAACGGCUUACCAAGGCGACGAUGCGUAGCCGACCUGAGAGGGUGAUCGGCCACACUGGAACUGAGACACGGUCCAGACUCCUACGGGAGGCAGCAGUAGGGAAUCUUCCGCAAUGGGCGAAAGCCUGACGGAGCAACGCCACGUGAGUGAUGAAGGUCUUCGGAUCGUAAAACUCUGUUAUUAGGGAAGAACAAAUGUGUAAGUAACUAUGCACGUCUUGACGGUACCUAAUCAGAAAGCCACGGCUAACUACGUG